RNAcentral lists this ribosomal RNA (328 nucleotides) under uncultured Moryella sp. RNAcentral describes it as "bacterial SSU rRNA". It matches the Rfam family "Bacterial small subunit ribosomal RNA", at positions 28 to 339 of the family's 1533-position model. Lineage: Bacteria; Bacillati; Bacillota; Clostridia; Lachnospirales; Lachnospiraceae. The record is from RNAcentral.
GAUGAACGCUGGCGGCGUGCUUAACACAUGCAAGUCGAACGGAGUAUUGAGAAUGAAGUUUUCGGAUGGAUUUCUUAAUACUUAGUGGCGGACGGGUGAGUAACGCGUGGGUAACCUGCCUCACACAGGGGGAUAACAGUUGGAAACGACUGUUAAUACCGCAUAAGACCACAGUACCGCAUGGUACAGGGGUAAAAACUCCGGUGGUGUGAGAUGGACCCGCGUCUGAUUAGCUUGUUGGUGAGGUAACGGCCCACCAAGGCGACGAUCAGUAGCCGAACUGAGAGGUUGACCGGCCACAUUGGGACUGAGACACGGCCCAGACUCC